RNAcentral lists this unclassified non-coding RNA (137 nucleotides) under soil metagenome. Its description in RNAcentral is "partial internal transcribed spacer 1". The record is from RNAcentral.
AAGAGUUGCAAAACUCCCACAAACCAUCGCGAACGUUACCUAGACGUCGUUGCUUCGGCGGGCUCGCCCGCCGGGGGGACGCUACCAGACUCUUGCAGUUCUUCGGCCUCUCUGAGUACGAUUUUUUAAAUAAGUCA